This 188-nucleotide ribosomal RNA is filed under the name uncultured Staphylococcus sp. RNAcentral's name for it is "partial 16S ribosomal RNA". It matches the Rfam family "Bacterial small subunit ribosomal RNA", at positions 153 to 334 of the family's 1533-position model. Lineage: Bacteria; Bacillati; Bacillota; Bacilli; Caryophanales; Staphylococcaceae. The record is from RNAcentral.
GAAACCGGAGCUAAUACCGGAUAAUAUUUUGUAACCGCAUGGUUCAAAAGUGAAAGACGGUCUUGCUGUCACUUAUAGAUGGAUCCGCGCUGCAUUAGCUAGUUGGUAAGGUAACGGCUUACCAAGGCAACGAUGCAUAGCCGACCUGAGAGGGUGAUCGGCCACACUGGAACUGAGACACGGUCCAG